GACGAACGCUGGCGGCGUGCCUAAUACAUGCAAGUCGAACGCUGAAGGAGGAGCUUGCUUCUCUGGAUGAGUUGCGAACGGGUGAGUAACGCGUAGGUAACCUGCCUGGUAGCGGGGGAUAACUAUUGGAAACGAUAGCUAAUACCGCAUAAGAGUAGAUGUCGCAUGACAUUUGCUUAAAAGGUGCAAUUGCAUCACUACCAGAUGGACCUGCGUUGUAUUAGCUAGUUUGUGAGGUAACGGCUCACCAAGGCCACGAUACAUAGCCGACCUGAGAAGGUGAUCGGCCACACUGGGACUGAGACACGGCCCAGACUCCUACGGGAGGCAGCAGUAGGGGAUCUUCGGCAAUGGACGGAAGGCUGACCGGGCAACGCCGGGUGAGUGAAGAAGGGUUUCGGAUCGUAAAGCUCUGUUUUAAGAGAAGAACGAGUGUGAGAGUGGAAAGUUCACACUGUGACGGUAUCUUACCAGAAAGGGACGGCUAACUACGUG
Molecule: ribosomal RNA, 495 nt
Filed under: uncultured bacterium
Lineage: Bacteria
Description: partial 16S ribosomal RNA
Rfam family: Bacterial small subunit ribosomal RNA
Source: RNAcentral